UACGAAGGGGGCUAGCGUUGCUCGGAAUCACUGGGCGUAAAGGGUGCGUAGGCGGGUUUUUAAGUCAGGGGUGAAAUCCUGGAGCUCAACUCCAGAACUACCUUUGAUACUGAAGAUCUUGAGUCCGGGAGAGGUGAGUGGAACUGCGAGUGUAGAGGUGAAAUUCGUAGAUAUUCGCAAGAACACCAGUGGCGAAGGCGGCUCACUGGCCCGGUACUGACGCUGAGGCACGAAAGCGUGGGGAGCAAACAGG
Molecule: ribosomal RNA, 253 nt
Filed under: uncultured bacterium
Lineage: Bacteria
Description: partial 16S ribosomal RNA
Rfam family: Bacterial small subunit ribosomal RNA
Source: RNAcentral